RNAcentral lists this ribosomal RNA (705 nucleotides) under Nepenthes benstonei. RNAcentral describes it as "eukaryotic LSU rRNA". The stretch from base 314 to 469 matches the Rfam family "5.8S ribosomal RNA". The record is from RNAcentral. Lineage: Eukaryota; Viridiplantae; Streptophyta; Magnoliopsida; Caryophyllales; Nepenthaceae.
AGGAGAAGUCGUAACAAGGUUUCCGUAGGUGAACCUGCGGAAGGAUCAUUGUCGAAAAUUGCCAAGCAGAGCGACCCGCGGACAUGUUGAAACAAAUCGUCGGGGGCACGGCGUCUAACGUGGCACGGUGCCCUCGACCGCCGGCCGAGCCCGCACCUUGCGGCCUGCUCCAGGAGCGGCAACGGGGGUGCGGGGCAAGGCUUGGCACAAGAAUGAACCCCGGCGCGGAUCGCGCCAAGGAACGGUAACAUAGCGUGCGCUGCCUUGCCGCCGGAUGCCCGGCGAGCGAGGUGGCGACCUGUCGUAUCUGAACGACUCUCGGCAACGGAUAUCUCGGCUCUCGCAUCGAUGAAGAACGUAGCGAAAUGCGAUACUUGGUGUGAAUUGCAGAAUCCCGUGAACCAUCGAGUCUUUGAACGCAAGUUGCGCCCGAAGCCUCUAGGCUGAGGGCACGUCUGCCUGGGCGUCACGCAUAGCGUCGCCCGCGACCAAGCCACCGCGUCUCUGCAUGCUAGGUUGGGGCGGAGAGUGGCCUUCCGUGCGCCGUUGUGCGGCUGGCCUAAAAUCGGAGCUCGGCGACUGCGCCACGACGUCCGGUGGUCGACAAGGCGAAGGCCAAGGUUGCAUCGCGUCGCGCUCGGCACGUCGCCCGUGAAGCUCGCACGACCCCGCCGCGCCGUCCUUUCGGCACCAACGCAGCGACCC